GUCUCGAUAGCUCAGUGGUAGAGCGUGGGAUUGCAGUCGCUGCAAUCAUCCUAAGGUCGCGUGUUCGAACCACGCUCGGGACU
Transfer RNA from Coniosporium apollinis CBS 100218, 83 nucleotides. It matches the Rfam family "tRNA". From Rfam's summary of the family: Transfer RNA (tRNA) molecules are approximately 80 nucleotides in length. Their secondary structure includes four short double-helical elements and three loops (D, anti-codon, and T loops). The record is from Rfam. NCBI's taxonomy places the organism in Eukaryota, Fungi, Ascomycota, Dothideomycetes.